Molecule: unclassified non-coding RNA, 391 nt
Filed under: soil metagenome
Description: partial contains 5.8S ribosomal RNA, internal transcribed spacer 2, and large subunit ribosomal RNA
Rfam family: 5.8S ribosomal RNA (bases 1-122)
Source: RNAcentral
GAUGAAGAACGUAGCGAAAUGCGAUACUUGGUGUGAAUUGCAGAAUCCCGUGAACCAUCGAGUCUUUGAACGCAAGUUGCGCCCGAAGCCAUUAGGCCGAGGGCACGCCUGCCUGGGCGUCACACGUCGUUGCCCCCCCAUCUACUCCUUCGGGAUUGCGGGGGGCGGAUGAUGGCCUCCCGUGCGCCUCGUCGCGCGGUUGGCAUAAAUGCCAAGUCCUCGGCGACGCAUGCCACGACAAUCGGUGGUUGCGAAACCUCGGUUGCCCGUCGUGUGCGGUCGUCGCGCAUCGAGGGCUCGAAAAAAUUGCCGGGCUCCGGCUCGGCUUUCAACGCGACCCCAGGUCAGGCGGGGUUACCCGCUGAAUUUAAGCAUAUCAAUAAGCGGAGGA